This is a long non-coding RNA of Aedes albopictus (Asian tiger mosquito), 359 nucleotides long. RefSeq lists it as uncharacterized. The record is from RefSeq and is a predicted model, not a curated record. The transcript has 2 exons. Lineage: Eukaryota; Metazoa; Arthropoda; Insecta; Diptera; Culicidae.
CAACAAACUAAUUUCAAAAUGUCAAUUCAAAAGAAAAAAAAAACAUCUCAUUGAAGACGUAUACGGACCUCAAUCAGCUGUUUUCCAAACUCUUAUGUGAAAAAAGAUUCUAAGAUGCUUUUCCUUGAACCGAACCUAAAACCGACGGCACGCACAAUGGCGUUUCCUCUAGCCUAGAAUGAGAUCGUGUGUCUAUAGGCUCUGAGGCUAGCUUGAAACAUUACCGGCUCAAGAACCCAGCUGAGAAUGCUUUCAGGAAUGGCCUUUCCCAUCUGUCCGGAUAACUAUUGUAACCUACAUUGAAACUACUCCUAUCGGAUGUAAAGUAUUAUGAAUUACAUUACAUUGAUUUACCCUUU